This 222-nucleotide ribosomal RNA is filed under the name uncultured bacterium. RNAcentral describes it as "partial 16S ribosomal RNA". It matches the Rfam family "Bacterial small subunit ribosomal RNA", at positions 328 to 544 of the family's 1533-position model. The record is from RNAcentral.
ACGCUCGACACCUACGGGAGCAGCAGUGAGGAAUAUUGGUCAAUGGGCGCAGGCCUGAACCAGCCAAGUAGCGUGAAGGAUGACUGCCCUAUGGGUUGUAAACUUCUUUUAUAUGGGAAUAAAGUUUUCCACGUGUGGAAUUUUGUAUGUACCAUAUGAAUAAGGAUCGGCUAACUCCGUGCCAGUAGCCGCGGUAAGUCUGAGCGGGCGUGGCGAAGGACG